UCCUAUACAUCCUCUGUUUUCUACUACAAUAUAUGGCAGCCGGCAUCCAGCAGCCACAAGCCGCAGAUCUUUCCGUUUGCUUGUUUGACUCUACGAUAUACCCUCUGUUGUUUGCUUCUAUGGACGCCCUAAUUUUAUGUAGGAGUGAUUUUUUAUUUCAUGUAGGAGUACCUUGAUUGAACUAGGCUAUGAUCGAGCUCCAAAACGUUGUCUUCAUGUUACUCCCUCUUUUUCGGUUUAUAGGACUCAAAUCUGAAAUCUCAUCAACCAAGGUGAAUUGUGAAUGAAUGGCACUAGUUCUAACUAGCCAAUGAAAUAUUUCUCAUAUAUUCAAUUUCCGAGGCAAUAAAUGUAGCAUCCUUCCUUUCAUUGGACUUGCAUGAUGCAUGUAGAAAAAGAUGCAUGCAUAGCCACUAAUUUUCUUUUUCUUAUCUCUAUGCAUUAAAUAUGAUAUGAGACUCAAAGCACUUUAACUCAACUAGACUCAAAAUGAGCCUAGUACAAUGAAAAUCUGAAAUUUUUGAGAUGAGCCCUAUAAACCAGGAAGGAUGGAGUAUAUUUCUACUUGUUAGGUUGUUUUCUACUCCAUAGCCUAGUGUUGUAUGUUAGUGUUGUACUAUAGCUAUAAGAUAGUCUAAAAGUAGAGUUUACACUUAACUAAUUCCUAGCGACUCAUUAUAACAAGUCAGUGUGUGAACCCAAUGGCAAAAAUUUCUCACUCCGCCCCUGGUUCGAGGGUUCAUUUUGAAGAUGCCCUACCCAUCCUUGUGAUGAGACUUCAAGAAAACUAGAUCCUAAACGCACCCACACACGAAUCACGAACCAUGCGACUGAAAGAUAGAAAAGUUCAGAUGCCUGCUCGGAAAAAUAAUAUCUGGAGACGACUAAAAAACGAAAAGACAAGACAAGCAUACACAGAUCGUCACGACCAGGUGUGGCGAGGACACUCGUAUCAUCGUAUGUGACAAGCGCAAGUAGAUGGCAUCUCUAAUAAAAAUCGUGAGAAGGAGCAAAUGCACAUCGGACCUAGUACUGACCAGUCCACCACCUACGGCAGAUCCCCUUGGAACGUACGAACUACACACCCGCAG
This 1091-nucleotide long non-coding RNA is filed under the name Hordeum vulgare. Its description in RNAcentral is "long non-coding RNA (HVUL_LNC014066)". The record is from RNAcentral. Lineage: Eukaryota; Viridiplantae; Streptophyta; Magnoliopsida; Poales; Poaceae.